CGGCGUGCCUAAUACAUGCAAGUCGAACGCAUUUGUGGUUGAAAUGAUAUGAAGAACUUGUUCAGAUUUGAUUUUCAACAUUGCAAUGAGUGGCGAACGGGUGAGUAACACGUGGGAAACCUACCUCUUAGCAGGGGAUAACAUUUGGAAACAAAUGCUAAUACCGUAUAAUAAUUAAAACCGCAUAGUUUUAGUUUAAAAGAUGGUCUUGCUAUCACUAAGAGAUGGUCCCGCGGUGUAUUAGUUAGUUGGUGAGGUAAUGGCUCACCAAGACAAUGAUACAUAGCCGAGUUGAGAGACUGACCGGCCACAAUGGGACUGAGACACGGCCCAUACUCCUACGGGAGGCAGCAGUAGGGAAUCUUCCACAAUGGACGAAAGUCUGAUGGAGCAACGCCGCGUGUGUGAUGAAGGGUUUCGGCUCGUAAAACACUGUUGUAAGAGAAGAAUGACAUUGAGAGUAACUGUUCAAUGUGUGACGGUAUCUUACCAGAAAGGAACGGCUAAAUACGUG
This 514-nucleotide ribosomal RNA is filed under the name uncultured bacterium. RNAcentral describes it as "bacterial SSU rRNA". It matches the Rfam family "Bacterial small subunit ribosomal RNA", at positions 40 to 507 of the family's 1533-position model. The record is from RNAcentral.